CCUACGGGAGGCAGCAGUGGGGAAUAUUGCACAAUGGGGGAAACCCUGAUGCAGCGACGCCGCGUGAGUGAAGAAGUAAUUCGUUAUGUAAAGCUCUAUCAGCAGGGAAGAAAAUGACGGUACCUGAGUAAGAAGCCCCGGCUAACUAAGUGCCAGCAGCCGCGGUAAUACGUAGGGGGCAAGCGUUAUCCGGAUUUACUGGGUGGAAAGGGAGCGUAGACGGCAGUGCAAGUCUGGAGUGAAAGGCGGGGGCUCAACCCCCGGACUGCUCUGGAAACUGUACGGCUGGAGUGCAGGAGAGGUAAGUGGAAUUCCUAGUGUAGCGGUGAAAUGCGUAGAUAUUAGGAGGAACACCAGUGGCGAAGGCGGCUUACUGGACUGUAACUGACGUUGAGGCUCGAAAGCGUGGGGAGCAAACAGGAUUAGAUACCCCUGUAGUC
RNAcentral lists this ribosomal RNA (440 nucleotides) under uncultured bacterium. Its description in RNAcentral is "partial 16S ribosomal RNA". It matches the Rfam family "Bacterial small subunit ribosomal RNA", at positions 338 to 795 of the family's 1533-position model. The record is from RNAcentral.